UAGAUGGCGACCGGCGCACGGGUGAGUAACACGUAUCCAACCUGCCGAUAACUCGGGGAUAGCCUUUCGAAAGAAAGAUUAAUACCCGAUGGUAUAAUCAGACCGCAUGGUCUUGUUAUUAAAGAAUUUCGGUUAUCGAUGGGGAUGCGUUCCAUUAGGCAGUUGGUGAGGUAACGGCUCACCAAACCUUCGAUGGAUAGGGGUUCUGAGAGGAAGGUCCCCCACAUUGGAACUGAGACACGGUCCAA
Molecule: ribosomal RNA, 248 nt
Filed under: uncultured bacterium
Lineage: Bacteria
Description: partial 16S ribosomal RNA
Rfam family: Bacterial small subunit ribosomal RNA
Source: RNAcentral